This 427-nucleotide ribosomal RNA is filed under the name uncultured bacterium. RNAcentral's name for it is "partial 16S ribosomal RNA". It matches the Rfam family "Bacterial small subunit ribosomal RNA", at positions 355 to 774 of the family's 1533-position model. The record is from RNAcentral.
UGGGGAAUAUUGCACAAUGGGCGCAAGCCUGAUGCAGCCAUGCCGCGUGUAUGAAGAAGGCCUUCGGGUUGUAAAGUACUUUCAGCGAGGAGGAAGGCGUUGUGGUUAAUAACCGCAACGAUUGACGUUACUCGCAGAAGAAGCACCGGCUAACUCCGUGCCAGCAGCCGCGGUAAUACGGAGGGUGCAAGCGUUAAUCGGAAUUACUGGGCGUAAAGCGCACGCAGGCGGUCUGUCAAGUCGGAUGUGAAAUCCCCGGGCUCAACCUGGGAACUGCAUCCGAAACUGGCAGGCUAGAGUCUUGUAGAGGGGGGUAGAAUUCCAGGUGUAGCGGUGAAAUGCGUAGAGAUCUGGAGGAAUACCGGUGGCGAAGGCGGCCCCCUGGACAAAGACUGACGCUCAGGUGCGAAAGCGUGGGGAGCGAACA